GCCUGAGAAGCUUCUGCUGCUGAGGGAGGUUAGAAUGAUCAUCCCUCCCACAGAUCUGGGCCGUUUUGACAGUAUGGUUUUGCCCUUUGAGCUUGAAGCCUAUGACAUACUAAAAAACCGCUCUGUAAGGUCUCCGGUCCUGCGUUCUCCUCGUCAUGGUGGAACACCCCGUCGCCAUUUAAUAACUCCCAUCCCAGG
Molecule: long non-coding RNA, 198 nt
Organism: Sinocyclocheilus rhinocerous
Lineage: Eukaryota; Metazoa; Chordata; Actinopteri; Cypriniformes; Cyprinidae
Exons: 3
Source: RefSeq, a predicted model, not a curated record